Molecule: ribosomal RNA, 427 nt
Filed under: uncultured bacterium
Lineage: Bacteria
Description: partial 16S ribosomal RNA
Rfam family: Bacterial small subunit ribosomal RNA
Source: RNAcentral
UGGGGAAUAUUGCACAAUGGGGGAAACCCUGAUGCAGCCAUGCCGCGUGUGUGAAGAAGGCCUUCGGGUUGUAAAGCACUUUCAGCGAGGAGGAAAGGGUGAUGCCUAAUACGUAUCAACUGUGACGUUACUCGCAGAAGAAGCACCGGCUAACUCCGUGCCAGCAGCCGCGGUAAUACGGAGGGUGCAAGCGUUAAUCGGAAUUACUGGGCGUAAAGCGCACGCAGGCGGUUGGAUAAGUUAGAUGUGAAAGCCCCGGGCUCAACCUGGGAAUUGCAUUUAAAACUGUCCAGCUAGAGUCUUGUAGAGGGGGGUAGAAUUCCAGGUGUAGCGGUGAAAUGCGUAGAGAUCUGGAGGAAUACCGGUGGCGAAGGCGGCCCCCUGGACAAAGACUGACGCUCAGGUGCGAAAGCGUGGGGAGCAAACA